GACGAACGCUGGCGGCGUGCUUAACACAUGCCAGUCGAACGGAAAGGCCCUGCUUUUGUGGGGUGCUCGAGUGGCGAACGGGUGAGUAACACGUGAGUAACCUGCCCUUGACUUUGGGAUAACUUCAGGAAACUGGGGCUAAUACCGGAUAGGAGCUCCUGCUGCAUGGUGGGGGUUGGAAAGUUUCGGCGGUUGGGGAUGGACUCGCGGCUUAUCAGCUUGUUGGUGGGGUAGUGGCUUAACAAGGCUUUGACGGGUAGCCGGCCUGAGAGGGUGACCGGCCACAUUGGGACUGAGAUACGGCCCAGACUCCUACGGGAGGCAGCAGUGGGAAAUAUUGCACAAUGGGCGGAAGCCUGAUGCAGCAACGCCGCGUGCGGGAUGACGGCCUUCGGGUUGUAAACCGCUUUCGCCUGUGACGAAGCGUGAGUGACGGUAAUGGGUAAAGAAGCACCGGCUAACUACGUG
Molecule: ribosomal RNA, 468 nt
Filed under: uncultured bacterium
Lineage: Bacteria
Description: partial 16S ribosomal RNA
Rfam family: Bacterial small subunit ribosomal RNA
Source: RNAcentral